This 239-nucleotide ribosomal RNA is filed under the name uncultured bacterium. RNAcentral describes it as "partial 16S ribosomal RNA". It matches the Rfam family "Bacterial small subunit ribosomal RNA", at positions 524 to 753 of the family's 1533-position model. The record is from RNAcentral.
UACGGAGGGUGCAAGCGUUGUCCGGAUUUAUUGGGUUUAAAGGGUGCGUAGGCGGUCUUUUAAGUUCAGCGGUGAAAUCCUCCCAGCUUAACUGGAGAACUGCCAUUGAUACUGGAAGACUUGGAGUAACAGACGAGGUAGGCGGAAUUGACAGUGUAGCGGUGAAAUGCAUAGAUAUUGUCAAGAACACCCGGAUUGCGAAGGCAGCUUACUAGACUGAUAACUGGACGCUGAAGGCA